GAUGAACGCUAGCUACAGGCUUAACACAUGCAAGUCGAGGGGAAACGAUGAGAGAGCUUGCUCUCUUAGGCGUCGACCGGCGCACGGGUGAGUAACGCGUAUCCAACCUACCCAUUACAGGGGGAUAACCUUGCGAAAGUAAGACUAAUACCCCAUGGCAGUUUAUGGUGGCAUCAUUAUAGGAUUAAAGAUUUAUUGGUAAUGGAUGGGGAUGCGUCUGAUUAGCUUGUUGGCGGGGUAACGGCCCACCAAGGCAACGAUCAGUAGGGGUUCUGAGAGGGAGGUCCCCCACAUUGGAACUGAGACACGGUCCAAACUCCUACGGGAGGCAGCAGUGAGGAAUAUUGGUCAAUGGGCGAGAGCUUGAACCAGCCAAGUAGCGUGCAGGAUGACGGCCCUAUGGGUUGUAAACUGCUUUUAGAGGGGAAUAAAGUGAGCUACGUGUAGUUUAUUGCAUGUACCCUAUGAAUAAGGACCGGCUAAUUCCGUG
Molecule: ribosomal RNA, 490 nt
Filed under: uncultured bacterium
Lineage: Bacteria
Description: partial 16S ribosomal RNA
Rfam family: Bacterial small subunit ribosomal RNA
Source: RNAcentral